Molecule: ribosomal RNA, 253 nt
Filed under: uncultured bacterium
Lineage: Bacteria
Description: partial 16S ribosomal RNA
Rfam family: Bacterial small subunit ribosomal RNA
Source: RNAcentral
UACGUAGGGUGCGAGCGUUAAUCGGAAUUACUGGGCGUAAAGCGUGCGCAGGCGGUUUUGUAAGCCAGAUGUGAAAGCCCCGGGCUUAACCUGGGAAUGGCAUUUGGGACUGCAAGGCUUGAGUGCGGCAGAGGAGACUGGAAUUCAUGGUGUAGCAGUGAAAUGCGUAGAUAUCAGGAGGAACACCAAUUGCGAAGGCAGCUCGCUGGGACGUUACUGACGCUGAGACGCGAAAGCGUGGGGAGCAAACAGG